RNAcentral lists this ribosomal RNA (468 nucleotides) under uncultured bacterium. RNAcentral's name for it is "partial 16S ribosomal RNA". It matches the Rfam family "Bacterial small subunit ribosomal RNA", at positions 28 to 507 of the family's 1533-position model. The record is from RNAcentral.
GACGAACGCUGGCGGCGUGCUUAACACAUGCAAGUCGAACGGAAAGGCCCUGCUUUUGUGGGGUGCUCGAGUGGCGAACGGGUGAGUAACACGUGAGUAACCUGCCCUUGACUUUGGGAUAACUUCAGGAAACUGGGGCUAAUACCGGAUAGGAGCUCCUGCUGCAUGGUGGGGGUUGGAAAGUUUCGGCGGUUGGGGAUGGACUCGCGGCUUAUCAGCUUGUUGGUGGGGUAGUGGCUUACCCAGGCUUUGACGGGUAGCCGGCCUGUGAGGGUGGCCGGCCACAUUGGGACUGAGAGACGGCCCAGACUCCUACGGGAGGCAGCAGUGGGGAAUAUUGCACAAUGGGCGGAAGCCUGAUGCAGCAACGCCGCGGUCGGGAUGACGGCCUUCGGGUUGUAAACCGCUUUCGCCUGUGACGAAGCGUGAGUGACGGUAAUGGGUAAAGAAGCACCGGCUAACUACGUG